This 75-nucleotide transfer RNA is filed under the name bacterium. Its description in RNAcentral is "tRNA-Arg". It matches the Rfam family "tRNA". Rfam says of the family: Transfer RNA (tRNA) molecules are approximately 80 nucleotides in length. The record is from RNAcentral.
GUCCUCAUAGCUCAAUGGAUAGAGCUACAGACUCCUAAGCUGUAGAUGUAGGUUCGAUUCCUACUGGGGAUACCA